Molecule: ribosomal RNA, 274 nt
Filed under: uncultured bacterium
Lineage: Bacteria
Description: partial 16S ribosomal RNA
Rfam family: Bacterial small subunit ribosomal RNA
Source: RNAcentral
AUACGAAAGGUGCAAGCGUUGUUCGGAUUUACUGGGCGUAAAGAGAGUGUAGGUUGUUUAUUAAGUCGGAUGUGAAAUCCCGGGGCCCAACCUCGGAACUGCAUUCGAUACUGGUAGACUAGAGUUCGGGAGGGGUAAGCGGAAUUCCGUGUGUAGCAGUGAAAUGCGUAGAUAUACGGAGGAACACCUGAGGCGAAGGCGGCUUACUGGACCGAUACUGACACUGAGACUCGAAAGCGUGGGUAGCAAACAGGAUUAGAAACCCUAGUAGUCC